UCUUCUGUAGCUGUAGAGGGAUCCAUGGCCAGCUGCCCAGUAGCGUGAAUGGUUGGGAUGUCAUCAUUUGUAGUCCCAGGAGGGCUGCAGCUUGUGGGUCUUGAGAAACCCACAGAACCGUUUACCCCUUCUCCCCAGUUGUCAUCAGCUCCUGUGGUCCCUGGGCCCUCGUGGAAGGGGCUGUCUGCUGAGACAGUAGUCCCACCAGCUUUUUUGCUUAGGUCAUUCGGUUGGUCACAGACAUGGAGAUCCCUAGAAGAGCUACGGAAUCAGAAAAGGCUCAGACAACAUCUGGCUUCCCAAGGCCUUCCUGCCCUCAUCCCCAUCACCUGGGAACACAUCAUCAUCGGGGAGGGAGGGGUGUGGAGUAGACACCCUGAAGGUCUCAGGGACCCCCUGACCACAGCCAGCUGGGCUGCCCUGGAAGACCUCUGCAGGACACACCACGGUAGCCUCCUUCUGAGUCAAGAACCUAGAGGCAGGAAACCUACAGUGACCAGGAAAGAGGGUCUUCCCACUGCAAUAGCAGAGUGUGCAAGACAGGAGUCUCCAACUGAGAGAGGUGUCACUGAGGUGGGAAGACCCACCCUGAAUGCGGGCAGUGCCAUCUCAUGGACUGAGGUCUAGAUUGAACAAGUGGGAAGGAGAAAGAGAGCUGAGCACCAGCAGAAAUAUGCUCCCCAAGAAGCCUCAUGUUCCCUGAAUCCACGCCUUCCCUCCCAUGAUGGACUCUACUGUCUUCAAUCCGGAGCCAAAAUAAGUAUUUCUUCUCUAAGUCCCCUCUGUUAGGAAUUUGGUCACGACAAUAGCAAAAAUAAUGAAUACAGGACCCGUGAUUCCUUUUUAAGCAAGAGCUGUGAAAGUUGACUCCAGACAGCUUUGCCCCAGAGAGUCCCAUGUCUCUCACCUGGAAAGCUUCAUCUGAAGUAAUGGUCUGGGGGUUUCUGUCCUUUGAGGAACAGCCUAGAAAGGGGAAACAGUUGCGUGAAAUACAGCAGUCUGUCAGAUGCCGCUUCCCCGCCCCCAGCCUUU
Molecule: long non-coding RNA, 1032 nt
Filed under: Cricetulus griseus (Chinese hamster)
Lineage: Eukaryota; Metazoa; Chordata; Mammalia; Rodentia; Cricetidae
Description: lncRNA (ENSCGRG00000025729.1)
Source: RNAcentral